GGAGAGAUGGCCGAGCGGUCGAAGGCGUACGCCUGGAGAGCGUAUGACGAGCACAACUCGUCCGUGGGUUCAAAUCCCACUCUCUCCGCCA
This 91-nucleotide transfer RNA is filed under the name Mesotoga prima MesG1.Ag.4.2. RNAcentral's name for it is "tRNA-Ser (GGA) (tRNA-Ser-GGA-1-1)". It matches the Rfam family "tRNA". Rfam says of the family: Transfer RNA (tRNA) molecules are approximately 80 nucleotides in length. Their secondary structure includes four short double-helical elements and three loops (D, anti-codon, and T loops). Lineage: Bacteria; Thermotogati; Thermotogota; Thermotogae; Kosmotogales; Kosmotogaceae. RNAcentral also lists the same sequence under 20 other names. The record is from RNAcentral.